RNAcentral lists this long non-coding RNA (3493 nucleotides) under Mytilus galloprovincialis (Mediterranean mussel). Lineage: Eukaryota; Metazoa; Mollusca; Bivalvia; Mytilida; Mytilidae. The record is from RNAcentral.
UUUGGAAUGCAUUAAAAAAAAUAACGUGUCUAAGUAUAUUCUACAUCUAUUGUGUGAGCGAAACAUGUGAGGGCUUAUAUCUGUCCUUAACCUUAGUUUAACAACCAGUGAUAUAACACUUGGUCAACCAUUGAUUCUCCGAACUAGACAGAAUGUGUUCUUGGAAAGACAAAUUUUGAACUAUCUGCACGUAUUGUAAUACGGUAGGUGUUAUAUAUAGGCAAAAUGUUUUACGAUAUCAUUUUAUUUAUUUUUUCCAUAUCUAUAUAACUAAUUGUCGUGACCAUAUUAUAAUAAUAUUAUGAUCUGUGAUUGCUUAAUAGACAAAGCUAGCUAGAAAUAAUCAAUUGCAUGACAUGACUAUACUGAGAACGGAUGGAAUUCCCAGUCUUUUUUUUAAUCCUAAACUAACACUUAUAUAUAUGUAUGUGUGUGUGAACACAGAAAUGGGUUAGAUGGAAAUGAUAAAGAAAGUAUUUAUUUAAACUGAUAUAUCACGAAAUGUCAUUUCAACUAUUGAUAAAAAAAAAAUACAAAAACGUAAACUAUAUAUACUUUUGACUGGUUAAAAAAAACUGCAACGUUACACUAAAGUUAAAACAAUAGUGUUUAAAAAAACGGGGAUAUGGUCUCUUUGUGUGACGACGUCCAUUGUUUCUACGCACUGUUGUAUGAGAACCAGACUUUUUGAUUGAUAUAUAUAUAUGUUACUAUACAAAUCGGAAUUAGAUACAAAGAAGUGAAUUUUAUUUUAUAAUAACCUAAUAUACUGUUCCAGAUUAGAGGGCGGGUUUGGUGCCAGUAAACAUGUUAUACAACGUCACAUUCUGUAUAGGCCAGUCCCAAGUUAAGAGUCUAUAAUUAUGUAAUACAACAAACAUGAGGUGUCAAAAAUUAUUUGUACACCAGAUCCGGAUUUCGACAAUAAAUCUCUUCAGUGAUGUUAGGGAUCGAAACGGUAUUUGAUGGCAGAAUAGUGAUGCAUUUACUAAAAUGAGUGCAGAUAAUCGACAUAAUAAGAUUUAGUGGAUUAAGUAUCUAAUUAUACAGACGUCAUGGAUAAUCUACAGACAACCAUGGAACUAAGGAAAACGCACGUGAACUUCCCCGAUAUAAUGGGUAGCAACGUCCGGGAUAUGGGUUAGCAACACUCAGGGGCUAUGGGUUUUGUAACGACGAGCGUUAACCAAUCAAAAUCUUAAAAAUAUACUAAGCAGGGGAUAAUGUUUGACAUGCUUGGAGUCAGAAAUUGGAAAUUGUGCUAUUUGAGUAAGGAAAAGGUUUUUUAAUAUUGCUUUUAACUUUUAGAAGUUUGCCUCCCCACUCUACUCCCCCCGCCAGCAAACAAUCACAAACACUUUUCAAUCUAAUUCAUACAAUGAAGCUUCUUAUAAAGUGACCUGCUUCAGUGAUCCUUACCUCACAUGAAGCCGUUAGUAAAUGUCCCUCUUUUGAGUAUAAACCUAGCACGUCACGGUUAAUUGAAAGCAUUAACGGCUCAUGAUUUUUUAUAUCUACGAUUUCUUUAAACAAGAAACCUUUCUUCCUAUAUUUAAUGUGGUUGUAUUUCUGUCAAAAUGCAAAAGAAGUAUUGCCAAAGAUAAACAAGUACUAAGGUGAGGUUAAGGAAUUUGUGUCAGAUGUUCGGACUCAUUGUCCCCCCCCCCCCAACUCGAUACAAGGUAAAAUAGUUUGCCCCAUAACCCCUUUUUUCUCUUCAUAUGAGUCUUCAAUAGCUAAAAUAAAUCAUUUAUUAAAAUUCAAGCAUAUUUAUGAUUACUAAAGAUGUACUUUUAUAUAUGAUAUUUUUUAAAACAAAAAGUAAAACCGAUAUAACUCUAGAAACAUAAAUAGAAAUAUUUAUGGAAAGCCCGAAAAGAAAUAUAAGAUAAAAACCUAACUGAGACCGUUUAAAUGAGGGGGGGGGGGUAGCUCUGGUCUUUCAAUGCCCAUAAAAUUCCCUUCGAUUUGAGACCAAAAUGAUAUCGAUGCAUAUACAAGGUAAAAGUCCGAGCCAGCUUUUUCCCGCCAUUUUAAAAUAUCAAUUAUAUCGAAAAAUGCUCCAUAACCUUAAUUUUUAGCUUAUUUUGUUCCUUAACUAAUGCACUUCUGACUUAUAGUGUCAAUUUAAAACUUUUUUAGUACAUCAUUGAAGUCGUCUUCGAUUACACUUUUACAUUUUAAGUUUUAAGUGUGUCAGCAUUCUUUUUUUACUGAGCUCUGAACAGAAAAUUCUGAGAGUGGUGAGGGGUACGUACCCCUAUCUCUCUCUCUCUCUCUCUUAGUCAUAUUCUUGCAUGUGCGUUCAAGAGAACACAAUAGGCCACCCAAAAGGAUCUUCAGAAACUGAACAAAUCAAUUUGAUUUCCAGGACGACAGUAGGUUAGUGAGCGAGUGCAGAAUCGAAAAAAGUCCCGAGUAAUAGCACUUUGUUCUGCUGAAUAGCUGUCAGCAUUCAUUUGUAUCCAGUAAUCUUUGUUAAAGAUGGCAAAAAGGAUAUAAAACGAGGAGAUGCGAUAUGAAUGCCAAUGAAACCGUAUGAUCGGCUAUGAAAUGUCCCGACCUAAAUAUUAUGAAACAAUUCAUUUGAGAAAACCAAUACUAACCUAGAACUGUGGAGUUACAGCUCUUUAUAAGAAGAAACUAUAAAAACAUUAGUUGAAAAGGGCUCUACUCAUCGAUACAAAGCAGAAAAGCAUCUAACAAAAGCACAAACCGGAUGUUGCAGGGUAUUUAUACAUUCCUAACAAUUAAACAGCUACUUCAAAGCAAAAAACAACUACUAGUAAAGUUAAAACAAAUUAUGUAUUUCAGAUAAGUACACAUCUAACAUUCAAUGGAUUUAGUAUAAGGACGACACGACCUUAACAGUUGGAGAAUACAAUACCUUCCGCAAUUCCAAUAUAUAGGUAUUGACAGAUUGUAGUACCGCGAAAGUGCAUAUGUGUAUAACAAUAAUAUUUAGUAUGGAUUUAAUUUACUGAUGACAAAAUCAAUACUUAUAUACCAAGAGAAACAAUAUUUAAAAGCUGUAUGUACACAUAUUCAGCAUUAUUUUGACAGAUUUCCAGAGGUCCAAGCGACUUCGAACUUAAUAUGAAAGAAGUUAAUAUGUUUUCGCCUUCUCAAUUGAGAUUUUCUUGUUUUUCUUUCUUUCGAAGGUUGAUGAAUUGGUAUGUAGUGACGUUCAUGGAAUAUCAUCACGUGGUUUGGUUUUCACAUUCACGAAGAGUCGAUGGCAGAAGCAUCUAAUUUCCAUGCUGAUGGCAUUAUCAGUGGUAUGCCAAUUGACGAAACGAAUUUUUUACGAAUUAUCUAUCUUCUGUUAAAAGUAGCACCUCGAGCCGUGCAAGUUAAGUUUGACAAGGAGUUUAAUCCAGAUGUGCUCGACAAGGAAUUACAAAAAGCGAAAUGGACAGUGAUAGAACAGUUAAAGAAAAAGAGAAUCAUUACUCAAGCUCAAUGGAUUUUGUUGUUUCCAGAUACAGGUAAA